RNAcentral lists this long non-coding RNA (1533 nucleotides) under Pavo cristatus (Indian peafowl). RNAcentral describes it as "lncRNA (ENSPSTG00000017314.1)". Lineage: Eukaryota; Metazoa; Chordata; Aves; Galliformes; Phasianidae. The record is from RNAcentral.
CCAAACUGCAACAGCCUGCUGAUCUCAUGGAGAGAAGGAAACAAAAGCCGUGCUUCCCGAGCCUCUCCUCUGUCAGAAGCACACACCAGAUUGGUGGUUCUCCUCACAUUGCUCCUGCUUGCUGUUCCUUGCUCUUGUAUUCUUUUCCUUCCCUAGCAAAUGUCCUGAUCCUCCCGUGUCACAGAAUACCCUGAGUUGGAAUCAUCCAUAAGGAUGAUUUAGACCAACUCCUGGCUCCACACAGGGCCACCUAAAACCCAAACCCUACAUCUGAGAACACUGCCCAAACGCUCCUUGAACUCCAGUGAGCUUGGUGCCACGACCACUUCCCUGGAGAGCCUGUUCCACUGCUUAACUAUCCUCUGGUGCAGAAUCUUUUCCUGACAUCCAGCCUGAACCCCCAUCACAGCUUCACACCGUUCCCUCAGAUUCUAUCACUUGUCACAAGAGAGAGGAUCAGCGCCUGCCCCUCCACUCCCCCUUGUGUCCCUGCUCUCAGGGCCAGACCCAAGAGCCGGACACACUGUUCUCCCUCUGCUCUCUUCUCUCAGCCCACUGCCCCGGGCAGGAGGCAGAGAAGCAGCAGGUGAGAAGGGCAACUGCAACAAGCUCAGUUUAUUGGACCUGCAAUCCUUUCAAACCUGAGGGGAGGUGGGCAAUGCGCCCUAACACAUCCCCUCCACAGUGAGGAUGUGAGGAGGCACAGAGAGGCCAUGCGGUGGGGAGGAAGGGCCAAUCCCUGCCUGCCACGUGAGAAGGGCAGCAGGACAGAAGGAACCUGGGUUUGUGUUGUCUGAGGCCACCACAGCGCUGCGGAGGCCAUGCUGGGGCGUUGCCCCAGAAGAAGACACAAGUGGAUGGUCCCCUCGUGGUGUGCCUAGAAAGCCACCAUGGUAUGCAGCCCCUAAUUCAAGAGCUUUAUUCCUGGAUUUUGGUGAGAAGCAGAACUUCGAGCUGAAGGGAGCCCUGGAAGCAUGAGGCGAGAAGGGACAGACACAACACCCAGCCCUGAGGGGCAAGCACCUGAGGUACAGGUGGGAAAGCCAGAGCGAGGCCAGAAGACGACGGGACAGCACAAACUGAGGAGAAAGUUGACGGCAAGAGGGACCGGGCUGGGCUCCCCGCUCCGCGUCCCCCCCCGGUCGGUGCCUGAGAACAUCGCAUCUGGACGCCGCGAUCAUUGUGCGAGCGGAGAUAAAGAGCGGAGCGGGGGCGGCCGCACCCCCCGCGCAGCGCCGCGCACCCGCAGAUUUAUUUUUUUCUCAAUAUUUUUAUUAUUAUUAUUAUUAUUUUCCCCUGGAACUUCUUCUAGUUGGGGAAGGAAAGGAAGAAAGGAAAUAAAUUUUGUGCAAGGAAAUACUCUCAGCUCCCUCCUUCCAGCGGGUCUCUCCUUUCUUUAUUUCUUCCCCCCUCCCCUCUUUUCUGCUUUUUUCCCCUCUUUCGGCGAUCCGCGCCCUCCCAGCCCCGAUCAAAGCAUUCCGCUAUUCUGAUUUAUUGCCUGCUCGGUGAGGCUGCUUUUUUUUUUUUUUUUUU